CUGGAUCACUUUCUGAUGUUUUUAUAUUAUACACACACCCGCGAGAAGAGAGGAGGAGGGUAUAUCUCUCUCUGUGUGUGUGUGUGUGCAAGAGGGGGAAAAGGUAUGGUGUAUUUUUGUAUAUACUUGCCUGUGUGUACCCCUUGUGUAUUGUGAGCACCACACACUCUCUUCUUCGCACUACACAUAUAUCUCCUCGACACAUUGUGCGCAUAUAUAUAUAUAUAUAUAAUGUGUGUGCUCUAAGUGUUGUGGAAAAAGUAACUUGCCGCUUGACCUCGUGUGUGGAUAUGGUGUGUAGUGUCUGUGUGGUGUUUGUUUAUAUAUAUAUAUACAUAUAAACAGGUGCGCACAUACACACACCCAGAAAAGAACACGUCGUGAAGCACGGCCCCAACAACGUGUCGCGAUGGAUGACUUGUCUUCCUAUUUCUUAAAAAAACACAACAAAGUGCGAUAAGUGGUAUAA
Molecule: unclassified non-coding RNA, 469 nt
Filed under: Trypanosoma nabiasi
Lineage: Eukaryota; Euglenozoa; Kinetoplastea; Trypanosomatida; Trypanosomatidae
Description: sequence contains 18S rRNA gene, ITS1
Source: RNAcentral